CCUCCUUUCUAAGGAUGAUAUCUCGAUCAACGGCCCUCACGGUCGUUUCUUGAUAUCUCUUUUUACAUCGGCGAUUUUGUCGCCGCCUUCGUUUCCCUUUCUUUUCCGUCGUCUUUCAAUUCGAACCGUGGGAUAUGCGUGCGGAUCUUAGAAUUGAAUUGUCGCGUAAUUUUUGGCGAAGUGGCCCCAGCUUGAUCGAAUUGUUUUCGAGCGCUCUUUUUGGGCUCGUAGCUCAGGUGGUUAGAGCGCACGCCUGAUAAGCGUGAGGUCGGACGUUCAAGUCGUCCCGGGCCCACCACUUGACCGAUGCACUUGGAUUAGAUGCCCGGCAGGUGUCCGUUCAUGUAAUGGAUUGCCGGUGAGUGCGGCCAAUGAGAUUUGGGGCCGUACCUCAGUUGGGAGAGCGCGAGCUUUGCAAGCUUGAGGUCGUCGGUUCGAUCCCGAUCGGCUCCACCAUUAUUAAAUGGCGUUUUGAAAAAGAUGAUUCGAAGCGAAGCCGAAAAGAUCUCCACUCAAAUGUUUU
This 523-nucleotide transfer RNA is filed under the name uncultured Alphaproteobacteria bacterium. RNAcentral's name for it is "partial 16S-23S ribosomal RNA intergenic spacer". The stretch from base 222 to 295 matches the Rfam family "tRNA". The record is from RNAcentral. Lineage: Bacteria; Pseudomonadati; Pseudomonadota; Alphaproteobacteria.